Molecule: ribosomal RNA, 252 nt
Filed under: uncultured bacterium
Lineage: Bacteria
Description: partial 16S ribosomal RNA
Rfam family: Bacterial small subunit ribosomal RNA
Source: RNAcentral
GACGAACCGUGCGAACGUUGUUCGGAAUCACUGGGCUUAAGGGCGCGUAGGCGGUCUGCCAAGUCCGGGGUGAAAGCCCCCAGCUCAACUGGGGAAGUGCCUUGGAUACUGGCGGACUCGAGGGAGGCAGGGGUUGUGGGAACUUCCGGUGGAGCGGUGAAAUGCGUUGAUAUCGGAAGGAACGCCGGUGGCGAAAGCGCACAACUGGUCCUCUUCUGACGCUGAGGCGCGAAAGCCAGGGGAGCAAACGGG